GCCAGCCCGCUCAGAAACUCAAAGGAAUUGGACCGGGGGCCCGCACAAGCGGUGGAGCAUGUGGUUUAAUUCGAUGAUACGCGAGGAACCUUACCUGGGCUCAAAUGUAUGUUGACGUAUUCUGAAAGGGAUACUUCUUCGGACAAUAUGCAAGGUGCUGCAUGGUUGUCGUCAGCUCGUGCCGUGAGGUGUCGGGUUAAGUCCCAUAACGAGCGCAACCCCUACUGCUAGUUGCCAGCGGGUCAUGCCGGGGACUCUAGCGGAACUGCCAGCGUAAGCUGCGAGGAAGGUGGGGAUGACGUCAAAUCAGCACGGCCCUUACGUCCAGGGCUACACACGUGUUACAAUGGCCAGUACAGAGGGCAGCCACCCCGCGAGGGGGCGCUAAUCCUAAAAGCUGGUCCCAGUUCGGAUCGGAGUCUGCAACCCGACUCCGUGAAGCUGGAUUCGCUAGUAAUCGCGCAUCAGCCACGGCGCGGUGAAUACGUUCCCGGGCCUU
This 499-nucleotide ribosomal RNA is filed under the name uncultured Bacteroidota bacterium. RNAcentral's name for it is "bacterial SSU rRNA". It matches the Rfam family "Bacterial small subunit ribosomal RNA", at positions 885 to 1382 of the family's 1533-position model. The record is from RNAcentral. Lineage: Bacteria; Pseudomonadati; Bacteroidota.